UAACCUGCUAAAUAGUGACUGGAAGCUUCUACAAAAACACAGUGGCGUCUAGGGUGAAGUUUCGAUGGGUCCUGACGCCUCAUUGUGUGGAUGCUUCCAGGAUUUACUUCUUAGAGGGACUAUCUGUAUUAAAGCAGAUGGAAGUUUGAGGCAAUAACAGGUCUGUGAUGCCCUUCGAUGUUCUGGGCUGCACGCGCGCUACACUGAUAAGUUCAACGAGUUUAACACCUUGGCCGGUAGGUCUGGGUAAUCUUCGUAAAACUUAUCGUGCUGGGGAUAGAUCAUUGUAAUUAUUGAUCUUCAACGAGGAAUUCCUAGUAAGCGUUGAGUCAUCAGCUCGCGUUGAUUACGUCCCUGCCCUUUGUACACACCGCCCGUCGCUCC
This 384-nucleotide ribosomal RNA is filed under the name Aspergillus lentulus. Its description in RNAcentral is "SSU rRNA". It matches the Rfam family "Eukaryotic small subunit ribosomal RNA", at positions 1344 to 1682 of the family's 1831-position model. Lineage: Eukaryota; Fungi; Ascomycota; Eurotiomycetes; Eurotiales; Aspergillaceae. The record is from RNAcentral.